UCCAACGUUCCCAUAACUCAGGGAUAGCCUUUCGAAAGAAAGAUUAAUACCUGAUAGACUUUUUCAAGGCAUCUUGAGAAGUUAAAGAUUUAUUGGUUAUGGAUGGGAUGCGUUCCAUUAGAUAGUUGGUGAGGUAACGGCUCACCAAGUCUUCGAUGGAUAGGGGUUCUGAGAGGAAGGUCCCCACAUUGGUACUGAGACACGGACCAAACUCCUACGGGAGGCAGCAGUGAGGAAUAUUGGUCAAUGGGCGAGAGCCUGAACCAGCCAAGUAGCGUGAAGGAUGAAAGGUCCUAUGGAUUGUAAACUUCUUUUAUAGUAGAAUAAAGUGAUCCAACGUGUGGAUUUUUGUAUGUAUACUAUGAAUAAGGAUCGGCUAACUCCGUGCCAGCAGCAGC
Molecule: ribosomal RNA, 398 nt
Filed under: uncultured bacterium
Lineage: Bacteria
Description: bacterial SSU rRNA
Rfam family: Bacterial small subunit ribosomal RNA
Source: RNAcentral